Molecule: unclassified non-coding RNA, 249 nt
Filed under: Blastobotrys buckinghamii (nom. inval.)
Lineage: Eukaryota; Fungi; Ascomycota; Dipodascomycetes; Dipodascales; Trichomonascaceae
Description: partial contains 5.8S ribosomal RNA, internal transcribed spacer 2, and large subunit ribosomal RNA
Source: RNAcentral
CGCACAUUGCACCUGGUGGUAUUCCGCCAGGUAUGCCUGUUUGAGCGUCAUUUCUCUCUCACUCCGGUGGUUUUGCUGUUAUUACUCCUCUAGGGGAGUGUACGGUGAAAAGAAAUGGCAAGGCUCUAGUCUUUCAAGAAAUGUUUUAGGUUCUACCAACUACAUCUUCUAAAAGUACUAAUUAAAGUCGGCUUGAUAACUUUUUUCAAUGUUGACCUCAAAUCAGGUAAGACUACCCGCUGAACUUAA